Molecule: long non-coding RNA, 226 nt
Filed under: Lathyrus oleraceus (garden pea)
Lineage: Eukaryota; Viridiplantae; Streptophyta; Magnoliopsida; Fabales; Fabaceae
Description: Pisum sativum (pea) long non-coding RNA (PSAT_LNC042254)
Source: RNAcentral
AGAGUGAUAAGUGAAGUUGGUUGGACUGCUUAGAGGACUCCUUGGUCAUUGGUUGGGGGCAGACCAAGGGCAAAUGGUCAUUGGUUCCAAAAUGUCAAGAUAACAUGGUUUGUACAAUGUGACUUGCUUGUAAUGGAAGAAACCAAGAAAAAUCAACAACAAAAAUGAAGACUGGGUGUGCAUUGAAGCAAAAGGGUCAGGCCAAGUUUGGAUAGUCAAGAGCCAG